Molecule: ribosomal RNA, 435 nt
Filed under: uncultured bacterium
Lineage: Bacteria
Description: bacterial SSU rRNA
Rfam family: Bacterial small subunit ribosomal RNA
Source: RNAcentral
UCGGGAAUUUUGGGCAAUGGGGGAAACCCUGAUGCAGCGACGCCGCGUGAGUGAUGAAGGCCUUCGGGUCGUAAAGCUCUGUCGUAUGGGACUAACAAAAUGAAGGUACCAUGCAAGAAAGGAUCGGCUAACUUCGUGCCAGCAGCCGCGGUAAGACGAGGGAUCCUAGCGUUGUUCGGAAUUAUUGGGCGUAAAGCGGGUGUAGGCGGACUUAUAAGUCAGGUGUGAAAUCCCAGGGCUCAACCCUGGAAGUGCACUUGAUACUGCAAGUCUUGAGUGUGGUAGAGGCUAUUAGAAUUCCUGGUGUAGUGGUGAAAUACGUAGAUAUCAGGAGGAAUACCGGAGGCGAAGGCGGAUAGCUGGGCCAACACUGACGCUGAGACCCGAAAGCGUGGGGAUCAAACAGGAUUAGAUACCCGGGUAGUCCCUGAGCGG